UUGCGCGGAGACCGCAGCUGUUCCCUGUCAGUGGAGGCAGCGGCGGUAGAGGCGGUGGCGGCAACUUGCGGCAGCAGCGAGGAGAUGGAGAACCUGAGGGCACGGAGCCCUCAAAUGCCUCGCGCGAGGUCCCUGAGGGCUCGAACCCAAGUCUGUCAGAAUCCGGAGCCCAAGUGUCCCCCACCAUACUGGAAGUUGCUCAGCUCUGAAGACAGCCAUGGUGGAUUCUUAACCAUUGCGAUAGCGCCACCAGGGAAGCCUGAGUUGUGAGCCUCUUGAUUCCACGGCGGCCAGCAGUCAAGAAGCAGUGAUUGGAUUUGAGCAGCCAAGGUUUUAUGAUGAAGUACAGGUGAGUUUUAAGUAACUGGACCCUGGCAGAGGAAGGCUGAGGAAGGUGGAAGGAGAACGUGGAGGAGAUAGCACUUCCCAGUUGAGUGUGAGAAGUUUGGUUGGUCAUCUCGCAGAGGCCUCUGCAGGAGGCGUUUAUAAGGUGAGGGCACUUGCUAAGGUGCGGGUGAGUCAGAAGUGAGAUUGGGUCCAGAGGCGCCGGGGUGCUUGGUUGGGCUCUGAGGGCCCAGCAGCAGCGGGCCUGAGCUACAGUCUGUUCUGUUUGUGUUCUAGUAAGCAACCUAUGAGCACGUGUCCUUGUGAGAAGUUUCUUAGUGGCUGCUCUGCCCUGCAGAAAAGGGCUUUGUUCACUAUAGCUGCGCGGUACCUAUUGGUUGAAUUGAAUUAGGCUGCCAUUCAGAAUUUCUACAGUUUACCCCGAAGUCCCCUCUGCUCCUUAUCUCUUUAUCUUUCUCUACUGAAGCCUGUCCCAGCUUGACUGACUGUCUCCGUGCCAGUUCUCACCUCCAAGAUCAUCCCUCAGAGGGGUUUGCCUUGAUGUUGUAACCCCGGUGGAUCCCUCCUGCCUUUGAGGUGCUAGUACAGGUGGCUUAUCUUUUUUUUUUUUUAAAUCCUCUGCCUUGUUUUCCCUUUGUCUCACUUCCAGUGCCCUGGGUGCUGUGCUAGGUCCCUGUCCUGACACUGUUUGCAGAGGCGUGGGGCACUGGGGCACAGCAGGACUGCAGAUCCAGGUCUCAUUCCAAGUCACAGCACAUUCAGGGGCUGCAGGGAUGAUUGUCAUAUGUCAGAGGAUCUGGGCGGAAGGCCUGGGCAGGCCCCAGACUGUGCAGAUCUCUCCCUGGCACUUUCCCGCGUGAGCUGGAGACCUCAGGCCGGUAAACAUUCCCCGUGAGGACUAGUGUGGGCCUUCUCUCUGGCUCCCUCCCAGUAGCAUCUUACUGUGUUCUGAACAGGGCCCUCCUCCCCCCAUCCAGAAGGUGUGCCUGUUUGGGGGCAAGUUUCUCUUCCAGACACAUCGUUCACAGAAGUGGGGCAUUUGCCUGCUCUCUCUGAAGCCUCACCUGGGCCUGCCUGACCAUCUCUUCCCUUCCCUCUGUGUCUUAGCUGCCUCUUGUCUCAGCUGUGGAUACUUUGCCAAACUGUCAAAGGAGUAGGGCCUGACAGUGGAAGCUGGGACAGUGACGAAAAGAGGAAACCGUUUCCUCUUUCUUACUGAAUGAAAAGAUAGGCUCCCACCUGUUGGGCUUUUUCUUCUCUUUGACCCCACAGGUACCCUCUUCUGCCUCAGCCUCAUCUGAGACUACUGGCUGUUACCCCGAAACUCACUUCUUUGUGUCCUUCUUCUGAUCUUGUUCCUGACGAUCUUGACUCUGCAGGACUUUUCCUCUUCUCUCGUCCUGUCGAAAUUACUCUUCAGGCUUUCCUGCAAUAAGCCUUGCUGGAUCUAUUGAGCUGGACGUGGGUUCUCUCUUUUAAUAAUAAUGAUGAUAA
Delphinapterus leucas (beluga whale) is the source of this 1839-nucleotide non-coding RNA. NCBI's taxonomy places the organism in Eukaryota, Metazoa, Chordata, Mammalia, Artiodactyla, Monodontidae. The record is from RefSeq and is a predicted model, not a curated record.